AUGAACGCUGGCGGCGUGCCUAAUACCUGCCAGUCGAGCGCACGGACGAGAAGCUUGCUUUUCUGAUGUUAGCGGCGGACGGGUGAGUAACACGUGGAUAACCUACCUAUAAGACUGGGAUAACUUCGGGAAACCGGAGCUAAUACCGGAUAAUAUUUUGAACCGCAUGGUUCAAAAGUGAAAGACGGUCUUGCUGUCACCUAUAGAUGGAUCCGCGCUGCAUUAGCUAGUUGGUAAGGUAACGGCGUACCAAGGCGACGAUGCAUAGCCGACCUGAGAGGGGGAGCGGCCACACGGGAACUGAGACGCGGUCCAGGCGGCUACGGGAGGCAGCAGUAGGGAGUCUGCCGCAAUGGGCGAAAGGCUGACGGAGCAGCGCCGCGUGAGUGAUGAAGGUCGGCGGAUGGGAAGGGUCGGUUAGUAGGGAGGAACAGAUGUGGGGGGAACUGGGCAGAUGUUGACGGUACCUGAUGAGAAGGCCGCGGCUAACUACGUG
Molecule: ribosomal RNA, 496 nt
Filed under: uncultured bacterium
Lineage: Bacteria
Description: partial 16S ribosomal RNA
Rfam family: Bacterial small subunit ribosomal RNA
Source: RNAcentral